GACGAACGCUGGCGGCGUGCUUAACACAUGCAAGUCGAACGGAAAGGCCUCUUUCGGGGGGUACUCGAGUGGCGAACGGGUGAGUAACACGUGAGUAACCUGCCCUUGACUUUGGGAUAACUUCAGGAAACUGGGGCUAAUACCGGAUAGGAGCUCCUGCUGCAUGGUGGGGGUUGGAAAGUUUCGGCGGUUGGGGAUGGACUCGCGGCUUAUCAGCUUGUUGGUGGGGUAGUGGCUUACCAAGGCCUUGACGGGUAGCCGGCCUGAGAGGGUGACCGGCCAAAUGGGGAUGGAAGUCAGGCCCAGACCCCUACGGGAGGCAGCAGGGGGGAAUUUUGCAAAAGGGGGGGAACCCGGAUGCAGAAACCCCGUGGGGGGGAUGACGGCCUUGGGGUUGUAAACCGCUUUCGCUCAUGACGAAGCUUUGGGUGACGGUAGGGGGGAAAGAAGCACCGGCUAACUACGU
This 466-nucleotide ribosomal RNA is filed under the name uncultured bacterium. RNAcentral's name for it is "partial 16S ribosomal RNA". It matches the Rfam family "Bacterial small subunit ribosomal RNA", at positions 28 to 506 of the family's 1533-position model. The record is from RNAcentral.